UACGGAGGGUGCAAACGUUGCUCGGAAUCAUUGGGCGUAAAGCGCACGUAGGUGGCCUGUUAAGUCGGGUGUGAAAUCCCUGGGCUCAACCCAGGAAGUGCACUGAAACUGGCAGGCUUGAGUACUGAAGAGGGUCGCGGAAUUCCUGGUGUAGCGGUGGAAUGCGCAGAUAUCAGGAGGAACACCGGUGGCGAAGGCGGGUCUCUGGGCAGUAACUGACGCUGGAGGAGCGAAAGCCGUGGGGAGCGAACAGG
RNAcentral lists this ribosomal RNA (254 nucleotides) under uncultured bacterium. Its description in RNAcentral is "partial 16S ribosomal RNA". It matches the Rfam family "Bacterial small subunit ribosomal RNA", at positions 524 to 776 of the family's 1533-position model. The record is from RNAcentral.